GUGUGUGAUGACCUGUAGUGAUGGUGGCUGAGCAGCUGCUCUCCGAGUCUGCAGGAGCCUGAGACGCUGUAACUCCUCUGAGGACAACAGAGACGACAGGAGGAGGACGGCGUCGCCUGCAUCUUGUCCGCGAUGAUGUCAUCGGUGCUGCCGUCCAGGCUGCGUCCCCCCCGGCCGGCGACAGAUCGAUCUUUAAUCUCUCCAUCAUCUCCACGGCAGCAGACACCUGAGGGACCAAAAUCAGGCACG
Non-coding RNA from Plectropomus leopardus (leopard coralgrouper), 249 nucleotides. NCBI's taxonomy places the organism in Eukaryota, Metazoa, Chordata, Actinopteri, Perciformes, Serranidae. The record is from RefSeq and is a predicted model, not a curated record.